AACCUUUUCUCCCUGGUGGAGGAACCACUUGCAUGAGAAUAAGAGGUUGUUCCCCAGGCCAUCAGACUCCAAACAGUUAUGCAACUGGAGCCUCCUGAGGAUGACCCCUUCUGCCUGGGACCCUUAGAUCAGCCUCUAGAGAAGCUUUGACUGCUGUUUCCCCAAAACAGCACCCCCUGCCAUCAGGAAGCAAGCUGAUCAAGGAGAGAAGAUAAGGCAUGGAUAUUCAGUUUAAAAUGGUAGAGAACCAUAAUAAUACCUACCUUGAAGUGAUGAUAUAAACUACAUGACACAGAGUACUUGCUUCACACAGUGUUGGAACACACAGAGCUGCCACCUGGAAAUCCCUGCUCAUCUAAGGGUUGCAUCUAGACUCUGGUAGAUUUGGGGAGGGUGGCAUUUGAGUUAUGUCCUUUCCUGAGCUGUCCCAUGCCACAGCUUGCUGCUCUGUUGUCUCCUGACAAUUGGUCUCCUUGCUGCUAUUUCCAGAAAGCUUCACACAGAAAGCUUCACACACUCCUCUCACUCCUCAGACCAUCUUUCACAUAAUAC
RNAcentral lists this long non-coding RNA (552 nucleotides) under Homo sapiens (human). RNAcentral describes it as "non-protein coding lnc-PHF14-14:5". The record is from RNAcentral. Lineage: Eukaryota; Metazoa; Chordata; Mammalia; Primates; Hominidae.